RNAcentral lists this transfer RNA (72 nucleotides) under Millerozyma farinosa. Its description in RNAcentral is "transfer RNA-Lys". It matches the Rfam family "tRNA". Rfam says of the family: Transfer RNA (tRNA) molecules are approximately 80 nucleotides in length. The record is from RNAcentral. Lineage: Eukaryota; Fungi; Ascomycota; Pichiomycetes; Serinales; Debaryomycetaceae.
GAGAAUGUCGUCUAAUGGUUAAGACAGUUGCCUUUUAAGCCAUUAAUAUUGGUUCAAUUCCAAUCUUUCUCA